Molecule: long non-coding RNA, 639 nt
Filed under: Numida meleagris (helmeted guineafowl)
Lineage: Eukaryota; Metazoa; Chordata; Aves; Galliformes; Numididae
Description: lncRNA (ENSNMEG00000008235.1)
Source: RNAcentral
CGCGGAGAGGCUGCGCGCCUCCGUGCGGGCGGCUGCGGGGCCGGGGGGCUCCGAGGGAAGCGGGUCGGAGCUCGAGGAUCCCAGCUCCGCCGGGUGGGCAGCGCAGGGCGAGCGGCAAAGCCUCCGCGUCCCGCUGUCACCGUCCGAAGCACGCUGUGUGCCUCACCCUGCUUUCUGAGGAUGUCUGGUUGUCCGGUGGGGUUCCUGCAUACUGACAAGUGUUCUGCCUGUGGAUGAAAGCCCUGCUUGCUCCAGCUGUUUUCAUUUCCCAUUCCAGCAGAGGUCCCCUGGUACUGCAGUUAACAAACGUGUGAAAGAGAUCACGGUCCUAUGGGAGAAGACAUUGCCCAGCUCUCCAGUGGAAAGCUGAGGGGCUGGGACGUUACAAGGAGGAUAAAGCUCACAUACCCAUCUACUGAGUCUCUAUGCAAAUAAUGUGGGGUUCUGGGUUUGGAGAUUAAAAUUCAUGUUUAUCAAAUGCCAGUAGCUGGUAAGAAAUUUCCACAAACUGGAGGAACAAGGACUUCUGCAGAGCUGUCCCAGAGAAAGUAGAUGUCAUGCUAGAUGUUCCCCUUCUGGAAAUUUCAUUUACCUCAUAUCUGCAGGUUUGUGUUUGUCACUGCAGAGCCUGUCUGAGGG